Molecule: ribosomal RNA, 494 nt
Filed under: uncultured bacterium
Lineage: Bacteria
Description: partial 16S ribosomal RNA
Rfam family: Bacterial small subunit ribosomal RNA
Source: RNAcentral
GACGAACGCUGGCGGCGUGCUUAACACAUGCAAGUCGAACGGAAAGGCCUGCUUUCCCUUGUGGAUUGCGGGUACUCGAGUGGCGAACGGGUGAGUAACACGUGAGUGAUCUGCCCCCAACUUGGGUAUAAGCCUGGGAAACUGGGUCUAAUUCCCGAUAGGACUGCAGGGUGGUGCCUGUGGUGGAAAACGAUUUUCUAGUGGUUGGGGAUGAGCUCGCGGCCUAUCAGCUUGUUGGUGGGGUAAUGGCCUACCAAGGCGGCGACGGGUAGCCGGCCUGAGAGGGUGGACGGCCACAUUGGGACUGAGAUACGGCCCAGACUCCUACGGGAGGCAGCAGUGGGGAAUAUUGCACGAUGGGCGGAAGCCUGAUGCAGCGACGCCGCGUGGGAGAUGACGGCCUUCGGGUUGUAAACUCCUUUCGACCGAGAGGAAGCCACCUGGUUGGGAGGGUGGUGACGGUAGUGGUAGAAGAAGCACCGGCUAACUACGUG